UACGUAGGGGGCAAGCGUUAUCCGGAAUUACUGGGUGUAAAGGGAGCGUAGACGGUAAUGUAAGUCUGGAGUGAAAGGCGGGGGCCCAACCAUUGUGUGCAUUGGAAACUGGGAGACUUGAGUGCAGAAGAGGAGAGUGGAACUCCAUGUGUAGCGGUGAAAUGCGUAGAUAUAUGGAUGAACACCAGUGGCGAAAGCGGCUCUCUGGUCUGUAACUGACGCUGAGGUUCGAAAGCGUGGGUAGCAAACAGG
This 252-nucleotide ribosomal RNA is filed under the name uncultured bacterium. Its description in RNAcentral is "partial 16S ribosomal RNA". It matches the Rfam family "Bacterial small subunit ribosomal RNA", at positions 524 to 776 of the family's 1533-position model. The record is from RNAcentral.